This is a long non-coding RNA of Gasterosteus aculeatus aculeatus (three-spined stickleback), 3200 nucleotides long. The record is from Ensembl. NCBI's taxonomy places the organism in Eukaryota, Metazoa, Chordata, Actinopteri, Perciformes, Gasterosteidae.
GACGGCCCCUACAUAAUCAUGUCGGGGGGGUUAUUCAGAUAAUUCACAGUGAGAUUACCAUGAGCUCAUUAAAGUGCACGAACCCUCUGUUGGGCUUUUUACUGCAUGAAAACAAUUGAUUACUUAAAAAACGGUCCCACCCUUUCCUAAAAGCACACGAGUGUGUAUAUAGGCUGCUACCAACAGCUCACAUACACCCUGAAUAGGAAGCACAUCUCUCUGACGGACACAAUCUUUUUUUUGAAGGAGGAUAUCGCUUGCUGGACUUACAGAAGUGCAACAAGAUCGGUCAUUGUUAUCUGUGGAGAAACAUGGGAAACGAGAACUCCAAGAACAAAGAACUGCAGAACAGGAACGGCAGGAUUCCUGAGAAGCAUAUAAAUGGAUCAGCGAACGGCCUCUCUGCGAACCUCUCAUCUAACGGCUUGGAGAUUUCUGCUAACGACGGUAAAGCUGCUGACGCUCCAGUUAUUUCUGAAAUCCUUGAAAUCGUCAUCCACAAGGAAGAGGUCAGGGAAAGUGAAGGAGAUCAAACGGAUGUUAGUCUCCCUGCCACCAAUCUACAGACGGAGACAGCUAAGCAAAAGCAAGGGUCAGAAUCAUUGACGGAGCCAGAGAGUGUGACUCUAGACUCUGACGAGGGAAACCAGGAGGACAAUAACCCAGAAGAGAAUCCAGUUAUGAACUUCUUCAAAUCUCUAACGACUUCCAAAAUAACCAAAAAGGAAACAGCUGCUCCUGUUGCCAUAAAAGACCAGUCCCAGAAGGAGAACCAACCAGCAGCAACCACUACCGUCGCACAAGUAUCUGAGCCGCCUGCAGCGCCCAAAGGAAUGUCUAUCCCACCGCCACCUCCUCCAGAGCCACCAAAAAUGGAUAUCAAGGCAGAACCAGCUGCUAAACCUGUCAAGGCCACACCAAGAGAAGAAGCAAAAGCUGUUGCCAAGCAACCCCAGUCCUCCAAAGGAAAAUCAGCAACUCUAAGCAAAUUUUUCCGUUCAAAGACAAACAAGGAGUCCCCACCAAAGCCAGACAUUGAAGUAGACGUACAACAAGUUGUAGAAGUAGAGAAGGUGGAUUCUUCAAAAGCUGGCACUUUGGAGGCUGCAGCGAAACCAGAACCGCCGCCGCCUGUGCAGGAAGCACAGAAAACUGCCUCAACAUCCUCCUUCUUUUCUCUCUUCAAGCCUAAAGCCGCUGAUCCCAAAAAGGCGAGUCCUGCCCCGGCUGCAGCCCCAGAGACAGUGAAAGCCAAGGAGGAACCCAAAGCAGCAGCCAAGUUAUCCGAGGCCGUGGUAGAUAAUAAACCUGCUUCAGUGGCCUCCCAGGCCGCAGGUGAUGCAGCCAAGGCGCCAAAGAAACUGGAGAAGAGGAACUCCAUCCAUCAGUUCUUUAAAAUUCUGGGCCAGAAGCGUAACUCGACAGAUGCCGGGAUCCAGACAGAGACGCUCGCUGUCGCUCCGGUACCCGAGAAGGUCAAAUGAAACCAAAAGCGAGAGUGAAGUUUCCCUGUACAGACUCCUUCUCUUUUUCUUGCCCUUACUCGGUUUUCAUGUGCCUCAUCUGUCUCAUUAUUCUUUAAACUCUUAUAGAAUUGCUUUAACUACAUUUUGAUUUUGUUAUUGUUCAUAAGUUACAAUACGCACGGAAUAGUGAGCGGAAAGGCAAAGGCAAGUAGUGAGAAAGACACACAGCAGGUAGUUGCACAAGUGGUGAUUUGAAAUGGUCCAUGGUGAGGUUGUUGAGAUAUUUACAGUAUAUACAGUACAUAUUGUGUUUGGACCCUGUGCCUUGACAAGUAUAGCAAAAUCAGUGUGAAAUCUUUUCUACAGACAUUUAAUGUAACUUCUCUCUGUUCUUGCACAUGAAACAGAAGGUAAAAGGCAUCGCUUUUAGCUUUGUGUUUGUCAAAAAAAAACAUUUAAAAAAGGUUCUAUUUUUUACAGUUCACACAAAAGAAAAUCACGCAGCUGUGGCCGUGCAGAGGUUCCCACGAAAUUGCAUCGCACUUAAAUCCAUAUGUGAUAUAUUAACAUUAACAGCUCUGAAAAGAGCAAAUAAGAAGAGCAUCUUAGUGUAACAAGAAGCACUUAGCAGUCAAGUAUCUGUAUCGAGGGUGAUGGGGAACUGGCUAUAUGCGUAAAAAAAUGCAUCUGAGAGAUGUGUCUUUGUGCUACGUUUUUACUAAUGACUCACAGUUGAUUAGUUUUACAUUUGAACUUUGUCUCAUGUAACUCAGUGGAAGUCUUGUAGCGUCAGUCAGCAAUUAACAUCACGCUUUUGGUGGCCUUGCUUGAUGUAUGCAUGUGUGUGCGUGUGUGUAACUUCAGCUAUCCUGAAGACAAUAAACCUGUUUAUCAUUCGUUGUAUCUUCAUGUGUGUACGCGGCAACUGAGAAACCCCGUGAAGAAUAACCGGCUGUUGCAUUCGGCAUCUGCCAAAAUAUGCACCUCAGUAAGUUUGGCAAAAAAAAAUAAAAAAUCACACAUCAAAUCUUAUAAUAAAUAUUUUAAUUCACACUAAACUAAACUCAUAAGGCGUGACACAUGAGUCCUACCUUGGGCGUCGGUGGAAAUACUGCCAGCCUUACUCACCCAUGGGUUUAUUUUGUUGGCUGAAAAACAAGUGACGGUGAUGACGGGCAGGGCCGUACAAACCAAAACUCACCUCAGAGCCGCCCGCCGUCCGCCCGCCCGCCUGAUGGACGGAGAGCCGUCUGCGGUCCGUCACUACCAAAUAUUACAUUCAGAGACACCUUAGAGAUAAAAAGAUGUUAAACGAGAUCUAAGGAAUUGUUUCAGGUAAAGCAAAGCCUCCCAUACUCUAUUUUCAUUUAUGAGGUAAUUCCAAUGAUGGAGGAUGUGUUUUAAAUAGUAUUAUGUCAUGAGUCGCGGCCCCCUUAAAGGCAUAACUCACGCUGCACCUUUAUUAUCAACGAAACGCACUCUUUUUGCGUUACCCUCUGUGAUGGUUGUGAUCAUUUUAAAUUGUGCAUCAAAGUAAUUGACAUGGCACUUAAGGGGAAACAGUGAGGUAUUGCCUGCACAGUUUAAUCCAUGUGGUCAAGUCCUCUCCUCUGGGGAUUGUUAAGAGGAAUAUGUGACUCUUUGCCAACUGUAUUGCUGUACAGUGUGAAGUUCACCACUAACUACCAUUCUCCUAAAAUAAAACACUGGACAGUACCCACAGUGCACCUCACC